UAAUACGUAGGGGGCGAGCGUUGUCCGGAUUUAUUGGGCGUAAAGAGCUCGUAGGCGGCUAAGCAAGUCGGGUGGGAAAUCUCCAGGCUCAACCUGGAGCCUUCGCCCGAUACUGCUUUGGCUUGAGUCCGGUAGGGGAGUGUGGAAUUCCCGGUGUAGCGGUGAAAUGCGCAGAUAUCGGGAGGAACACCGGCGGCGAAGGCGGCACUCUGGGCCGGUACUGACGCUGAGGAGCGAAAGCGUGGGGAGCAAACAGGAUUAGAUACCCUGGUAGUCCACGCCGUAAACGUUGGGCACUAGGUGUGGGGCCUUAUCAACGGGUUCUGUGCCGCAGCUAACGCAAUAAGUGCCCCGCCUGGGGAGUACGGCCGCAAGGCU
This 378-nucleotide ribosomal RNA is filed under the name uncultured bacterium. RNAcentral describes it as "bacterial SSU rRNA". It matches the Rfam family "Bacterial small subunit ribosomal RNA", at positions 521 to 895 of the family's 1533-position model. The record is from RNAcentral.